This is a long non-coding RNA of Capsicum annuum, 515 nucleotides long. RefSeq lists it as uncharacterized. NCBI's taxonomy places the organism in Eukaryota, Viridiplantae, Streptophyta, Magnoliopsida, Solanales, Solanaceae. The record is from RefSeq and is a predicted model, not a curated record. The transcript is spliced from 2 exons.
UUAUCACUUCAGAAAGUUUCCGAGGCCAUAUACACUUUAAAUUUGAUAAAUAAUGUGGUCCAAUUUAUCUGGCAUGGGAAAUUGGAUAUCAAAAUGCAUUAAACAAACAAACUACACAAACACGCUCGAAAUCAGUAGGAGAAAGAGAAAGAGAGUGAGAAAAUGGAAAUGGUGGAAAGUAGGUACAGAAUGAUGAAGAAAUCACUGAAAAUGACCUUAGAAAAGUACCUCGAUUUCAUCGGCUGUAACAAACAACUCCCUCUCAAUAUCGCUAAUCUCAAUGCGGUUCAGGUACCCUGUCUCAACAGCGACAGUGAUAAUCGAGUACCUUGAUCUAUAUCCUUGCAGUUGGUGAGUCUUCAUUGUUCGAGGGCCAAGUAUUUAGACUUUCAGUAUUGCUUUGGGUUGUCUAAUUCCUUUUCAUUUCAGUUGAGUCAGUUGGGGAUUUUUCCCAAUGGCUCAUCAGUUCUGUAAUUAUUAGAGGCUUAUCAGAUUGACUGUGGUGUGUUAGACUU